Pongo pygmaeus (Bornean orangutan) is the source of this 2190-nucleotide long non-coding RNA. RefSeq lists it as uncharacterized. The transcript is spliced from 2 exons. The record is from RefSeq and is a predicted model, not a curated record. NCBI's taxonomy places the organism in Eukaryota, Metazoa, Chordata, Mammalia, Primates, Hominidae.
CCUGCCCGCGGCCUGGCUGCCUCACUCCAGCUGUGCGGGUCCUGCGGAGACACAAGACAACACCGCCCUGGACGCAGCGAGGCCUCUAUUAAAUGUCCUCUUCUCCGAAGAUGCUUACUUUACAACCACGUGUGACUAUCUGGAAAAUUCUCCCGUUCUUAGGAAAUACUCUGGCAUGUCCAGAGAUUGCAGAGAAUUAAAACGUCAGAGAUUCUUUGCAGAUUCUUUCCAGCUUCUCCCAUCAAGAGGCACAGGCUAGUUCCCCAUCCCUCUAAUCUGGCCAAGCCUUGCAACUUGCUGUGCUGAGAGUGGCACAAGAGACACCAUGUGACUCCAAGUAAGGCCUCAGGGGCCUUCCAGCUUCUGCUCUUGUCCCUCUGGAACUCAGGUCCCUGUGAGAAGCCUGAGCCAGCCUCCUGGAGGGGCACAUGGAGGAGAACCAAGGCCCCCAGGCCAACUGCCCCAGCUAAGUGCUGGGGACGUGAGGAGGACACUUGGGACCAGUCACAAAGUUUAGAGUGACUUUUUAGGAAGGAAAGUCGAACUGUAACAAGAGGGAAGAACAAAGGCCUGCCACUUAAAUUUUUGAAAAUAAGAAGUUGAGGGAAAACAGAAAUAAAACUUCAAGUAGCUACAUCUAUGGUCAAUUGAUUUGCAAGAAGGGUGUGAAGAUAAGUUGAUGGGGAAAGAAUCAUCUUUUCAAAAAAUGGUGCUGGAACAAAAGGAUGAAUUUGGACUACUAUCUCACACGACAUUAAAAAAUUUACUCAAAAUGGAUCAAAGACUUAAAUGUAAGAGCUAAAACUUAAAAACAUCUCAGAAGCAAACAGACGUCAAUCUCCUUGACCUUGGAUUAGGCAAUGGUUCCUUUGGAUUAGAUACCGUCAGCAACAAAAGAAAGCGAACCAUUAAGAAAGUGAAAGAACAAUACAAAUAAUGAGACAAAAUACUUGGAAAUAAUGUAUCUGAUGAAGACUUCCUUCUAGGAUGUAUAAAGAAUUCUUAAAACUCAGUAAUAAAAAGACAAAAUAACCCAAUUCAAAAAUGACCGAAGGAAUUGAAUAGACAUUUCUCCAAAGAAGACAUACAAAAAUGGCCAAUAAUCACAUCAAAAGUGAUUGGAAAGACAAAUCAAAACCACAGAGGCCGGGCGCAGCGGUUCAGGCCUGUAAUCCCAGCACUUUGGGAGGCCGAGGCGGGCAGAUCACUUGAGGUCAGGAGUUCGAGACCAGCCUGGCCAACAUGGCGAGAGCCCGUCUCUACUAAAAAUACAAAAAAAUUAGUUGCAUGUGGUGGCAGGUGCCUGUAGUCCAAGCUACUCAGGAGGUUGAGGCAGGAGAAUCGCUUGAACCUGGGAGUGGGGGGAUUGCAGUGAGCCAAGAUUGCACCACUGCACACCAGCCUGGGUGACAGAGCAGAACACUGUCUCUGAAAAAAAAAAAAAAAGGAACCGCAGUGAGACACCAUUUCACACCUGCUAGAAUGACUAUAAUUUUUAAAGGGCAGCUAAGUGUUAGUGAGGAUGUGGAGAAAUUGCUGGGACUGGAUAUACACUCACAAAAGGAUGAAUCCCUUGGUGGUUGUUCAGAACGUUCAACAUAGUUUCCACAUGGCCAGGAAUUCCACUCCUAGGUCUACGCCCACGAAAAAUGAAAACAUCCAUUCACACAAAAUCUUCUGCGUGAAUUUUCAUGGGAGCACGAGUCACAAUGGCCAAAAGGUGAAAAUAACCCAAAUGCCUAGCAGCUGAUGAAUGGAGAAGAAAAUCUGGUAGAGCCAUACAAGGGAAUAUGAUUCAGGAAGGAAAGCAAAAGGAAGGGAAUUCUGACAUGCUACAAUAUGGAAGAACCUUGAAAACAUUAUGCUAAGGGAAAGAAACCAAAUGCAGAAGUCACCUAUUCUGUGAUUUCACUUCUAUUAAAUUCUGAGAACAGGCAAAUCCAUGAAGACAUAGAUCAGUGGCUGCCCGGGGCUGAGGGAGGUGAAGAGUGACUGCUCCUGGUAUGCAGCUUAUUUUUCAGGUGACGAAGAUAUUCUAGGAUUAGAUAGCAGUGAAAGCUGCACAACCUGUGAGUACGGUUAAAGGAAAAAGAAAAAACAAACACUGAAUUGUAUACUUUAAAACAGCGAAUUUUAUGGUGUAUCGAUUAUAUUUCAGUAAAUGAGCCAAAACAUCUGCAAAAGAUAAAA